ACUUUUCUGGUUGAAGCCUGAGAAAUCAGGCCGAUGGCUGGUGACUUUUUAGUCACCAGCCA
Molecule: non-coding RNA, 62 nt
Organism: Kluyvera intermedia
Lineage: Bacteria; Pseudomonadati; Pseudomonadota; Gammaproteobacteria; Enterobacterales; Enterobacteriaceae
Source: Rfam